This 503-nucleotide ribosomal RNA is filed under the name uncultured bacterium. RNAcentral's name for it is "partial 16S ribosomal RNA". It matches the Rfam family "Bacterial small subunit ribosomal RNA", at positions 30 to 523 of the family's 1533-position model. The record is from RNAcentral.
AUUGAACGCUGGCGGCAGGCUUAACACAUGCAAGUCGAGCGGGGUGAUGGUGCUUGCACUAUCACUUAGCGGCGGACGGGUGAGUAAUGCUUAGGAAUCUGCCUAUUAGCGGGGGACAACAUCUCGAAAGGGAUGCUAAUACCGCAUACGUCCUACGGGAGAAAGCAGGGGAUCACUUGUGACCUUGCGCUAAUAGAUGAGCUUAAGUCGGAGUAGCUAGUUGGUGGUGUAAAGGACUACCAAGGCGACGAUCUGUAGCGGGUCUGAGAGGAUGAUCCGCCACACAGGGACUGAGACACGGCCCAGACGCCUACGGGAGGCAGCAGUGGAGAAUAUUGGACAAUGGGGGGAACCCUGAUCCAGCCAUGCCGCGUGUGUGAAGAAGGCCUUAUGGUUGUAAAGCACUUUAAGCGAGGAGGAGGCUCUUUUGGUUAAUACCCAAGAUGAGUGGACGUUACUCGCAGAAUAAGCACCGGCUAACUCUGUGCCAGCCGCCGCCGUAA